AGAACGAACGCUGGCGGCAUGCCUAACACAUGCAAGUCGAACGAAGCCUUCGGGCUUAGUGGCGCACGGGUGCGUAACACGUGGGAAUCUGCCCUUAGGUACGGAAUAACUCAGGGAAACUUGAGCUAAUACCGUAUGAUGUCUUCGGACCAAAGAUUUAUCGCCUAAGGAUGAGCCCGCGUCGGAUUAGCUAGUUGGUGGGGUAAAGGCCUACCAAGGCGACGAUCCGUAGCUGGUCUGAGAGGAUGAUCAGCCACACUGGGACUGAGACACGGCCCAGACUCCUACGGGAGGCAGCAGUGGGGAAUAUUGGACAAGUGGGCGAAAGCCUGAUCCAGCAAUGCCGCGUGAGUGAAGAAGGCCUU
This 365-nucleotide ribosomal RNA is filed under the name uncultured soil bacterium. RNAcentral's name for it is "bacterial SSU rRNA". It matches the Rfam family "Bacterial small subunit ribosomal RNA", at positions 26 to 418 of the family's 1533-position model. The record is from RNAcentral.